CAACCCUCAAGCCUAGCUUGGUGUUGGGGCACUACCCGUAAAACGGUAGGCCCUGAAAUCUAGUGGCGGGCUCGCUAAGACUCUGAGCGUAGUAGUUUACCACCUCGCUUUGGAAGAAUUAGCGGUGCUCUUGCCGUAAAACCCCCCAACUCUUUCUGAAA
Molecule: unclassified non-coding RNA, 161 nt
Filed under: uncultured fungus
Lineage: Eukaryota; Fungi
Also listed under: 2 other names
Description: sequence contains ITS2
Source: RNAcentral